This 166-nucleotide unclassified non-coding RNA is filed under the name uncultured Helotiales. Its description in RNAcentral is "sequence contains ITS1". Lineage: Eukaryota; Fungi; Ascomycota; Leotiomycetes; Helotiales. The record is from RNAcentral.
UAGAGAACCUGCCUUUGAGGUAGAUCUCCCACCCUUUGUUUACAUUACCUUUGUUGCUUUGGCAGGUCCGUCUCUUUUGACCACCGGCUUCAGCUGGUCAGCGCCUGCCAGAGGAUCUCCAAACUCUGGAUUUUGGCAUUGUCUGAGUUUAUUAUAUAAAUAGUUA